GGAAGCAGCAGUACCUGGCGCGUGACAGGUCUCAGGCCUACGCUGAGUGGAAGAUGGCCCUUUACCAACCUGGUGAGUGAGUCU
Long non-coding RNA from Myotis davidii, 84 nucleotides. RefSeq lists it as uncharacterized. NCBI's taxonomy places the organism in Eukaryota, Metazoa, Chordata, Mammalia, Chiroptera, Vespertilionidae. The transcript is spliced from 3 exons. The record is from RefSeq and is a predicted model, not a curated record.